Molecule: ribosomal RNA, 397 nt
Filed under: uncultured bacterium
Lineage: Bacteria
Description: partial 16S ribosomal RNA
Rfam family: Bacterial small subunit ribosomal RNA
Source: RNAcentral
AUACGUAGGUGACAAGCGUUAUCCGGAUUUACUGGGCGUAAAGGGCGUGUAGGCGGUCUUGCAAGUCAGAAGUGAAAUUCCUGAGCUCAACUCGGGCGCUGCUUCUGAAACUGCAGGACUUGAGUGCUGGAGGGGAUAGCGGAAUUCCUAGUGGAGCGGUAAAAUGCGCAGAUAUUAGGAAGAACACCGGUGGCGAAGGCGGCUAUCUGGACAGUAACUGACGCUGAGGCUGGAAAGCUUGGGGAGCAAACAGGAUGAGAUACCCGGGUAGUCCACGCCGUAAACGAUGAAUACUAGGUGUAGGGGGUAUCGACUCCCUCUGUGCCGCAGUUAACACAAUAAGUAUUCCGCCUGGGGAGUACGGCCGCAAGGUUGAAACUCAAAUGAAUUGACGGGG